GACGAACGCUGGCGGCGUGCUUAACACAUGCAAGUCGAACGAUGAACCCGGAGCUUGCUCCGGCGGAUUAGUGGCGAACGGGUGAGUAACACGUGAGUAACCUGCCCUUGACUCUGGGAUAACUGCUAGAAAUGGUAGCUAAUACCGGAUACGACCCUCGGUGGCAUCACCAGGGGGUGGAAAGAAUUUCGGUCAAGGAUGGACUCGCGGCCUAUCAGCUAGUUGGUGAGGUAACGGCUCACCAAGGCGACGACGGGUAGCCGGCCUGAGAGGGUGACAGGCCACACUGGGACUGAGAAACGGCCCAGACUCCUACGGGAGGAAGCAGUGGGGAAUAUUGCACAAUGGGCGAAAGCCUGAUGCAGCAACGCCGCGUGAGGGAUGACGGCCUUCGGGUUGUAAACCUCUUUUAGUAGGGAAGAAGCGAGAGUGACGGUACCUGCAGAAAAAGCACCGGCUAACUACGUGCCAGCCGCCGCGGUAA
This 484-nucleotide ribosomal RNA is filed under the name uncultured bacterium. RNAcentral describes it as "partial 16S ribosomal RNA". It matches the Rfam family "Bacterial small subunit ribosomal RNA", at positions 28 to 523 of the family's 1533-position model. The record is from RNAcentral.